This 255-nucleotide ribosomal RNA is filed under the name uncultured bacterium. RNAcentral describes it as "partial 16S ribosomal RNA". It matches the Rfam family "Bacterial small subunit ribosomal RNA", at positions 526 to 779 of the family's 1533-position model. The record is from RNAcentral.
CGUAGGGGCGAGCGUUGUCCGGAUUUAUUGGGCGUAAAGAGCUCGUAGGCGGUUUGGCAAGUCGGGUGUGAAAUUUCGAGGCUCAACCUCGAAACGCCACUCGAUACUGCCAUGACUGGAGUCCGGUAGAGGAGUGCGGAAUUCCUGGUGUAGCGGUGAAAUGCGCAGAUAUCAGGAGGAACACCAACGGCGAAGGCAGCACUCUGGGCCGGUACUGACGCUGAGGAGCGAAAGCGUGGGGGAGCAAACAGGAUU